This 431-nucleotide ribosomal RNA is filed under the name uncultured bacterium. Its description in RNAcentral is "bacterial SSU rRNA". It matches the Rfam family "Bacterial small subunit ribosomal RNA", at positions 30 to 493 of the family's 1533-position model. The record is from RNAcentral.
AUUGAACGCUGGCGGCAUGCUUUACACAUGCAAGUCGAACGGCAGCACGGGUGCUUGCACCUGGUGGCGAGUGGCGGACGGGUGAGUAAUACAUCGGAACGUAUCCAGAAGAGGGGGAUAACGCAUCGAAAGAUGUGCUAAUACCGCAUAUUCUCUGAGGAGGAAAGCAGGGGAUCGAAAGACCUUGCGCUUUGGGAGCGGCCGAUGUCUGAUUAGCUAGUUGGUGGGGUAAAGGCCUACCAAGGCGACGAUCAGUAGUUGGUCUGAGAGGACGACCAGCCACACUGGGACUGAGACACGGCCCAGACUCCUACGGGAGGCAGCAGUGGGGAAUUUUGGACAAUGGGCGCAAGCCUGAUCCAGCAAUGCCGCGUGAGUGAAGAAGGCCUCGGUUGUAAGGUACGUCUUUCUAGUCGUAGAAGAAAAAGAAC